CAGUAGCCGCGGUAAUACGUAGGGGGCAAGCGUUGUCCGGAAUUAUUGGGCGUAAAGCGCGCGCAGGCGGUUUUUUAAGUCUGAUGUGAAAGCCCACGGCUCAACCGUGGAGGGUCAUUGGAAACUGGAAAACUUGAGUGCAGAAGAGGAGAGUGGAAUUCCACGUGUAGCGGUGAAAUGCGUAGAGAUGUGGAGGAACACCAGUGGCGAAGGCGACUCUCUGGUCUGUAACUGACGCUGAGGAGCGAAAGCGUGGGGAGCGAACAGGAUUAGAUACCCCUGUAGUCCCUGUCUCUUAUAC
This 301-nucleotide ribosomal RNA is filed under the name uncultured bacterium. RNAcentral's name for it is "partial 16S ribosomal RNA". It matches the Rfam family "Bacterial small subunit ribosomal RNA", at positions 509 to 807 of the family's 1533-position model. The record is from RNAcentral.